GGGUGCAGUAUGGAACCUCAGAAGGCCGCGAGUGCCUCCCAAGAAGUCUGUUAGCGAGCUUGAGUGGGGCCAGCAUGGGCCAGCUUUGGUUCGCCCCAGUGUCGUGGGCUGGGGGCAGACAGGAAGAUUCAAAACCAUGGUGGGUCCAUCAGGCAGUAGCUAGAGGCCGUCAGUCCACCAAAUUUCCUGCAGCAGUGCUGGUGAAGGAGAUCCAAGUAAGCACUUCCCUGGUCCUUCCAGGAGUCCUCGAUUGAGACAGAGAGACAUACGCAUCACAGCUGCCUCGCAAGCCUGUGGACUAGCCCUUGGGGGUUAGCUGGCCUUUCCGUGUCCAGUCAGCCAUAUCCGGGCUGGCAGGAAGCAGCCAUGCAUGGCUCCAGAGGGAGGGCCAUGAUGAGUGGCUGCGUACCACCCACGUGCCCAGGACAGCAGAGAGAUGGUUGACAGAAUACAAGGAUGCACGAGAUGCAGGACAAAAGGAGGGAGGUAACUAAUUGCUCAAAAAAAGUGGUCAGGGAAGGGGGUCAAUGACAAGGGGAUACAGCAAAAUGGGUUUUGCAGCAUCAUUGGAAUUUCUUUUACACGUGGGAGGAUGCACGGCGAAUCUGUAUGGAGCCCUGGAUUCAUACCCUAGCUCUGUCAGUUAUCAGCUGUGUGACUUUGGAAAGAGUCAGGAAAUACAGGGAAAGAAAGGUGGGAGCCUGUGUUUCCGAAGGCAGGUCCCUCAGGAAGUCCCGUGACUGACUUUUUGUAUGAUGUUGGGCUCUUCUCCCGCGAGCUGCUAUCUGAAGACUCAGAAGGAAGCUUCCUGCUGUCGGGACAUGGGCUGCAACAUCUGGAGCUGGGCCCCGGUGAGAAUCAGUUGAAAUCACGUGUGUGAAAGAGCUUGUCCACGGAGCAUCACCCCCGAUGGCUGCUGUUCAAUCUGCUUGGGAACUCCCUUCCAUUACUGAUUCAUGUGAUUCUGGUUGGCUGCUAAUCACGGUCUUUCUCUCCUGGGCCAAAAUAGUGAGAAAGGAACCCAGGUUUGGCCAAACAUAGCCCCCAGUUUUCUUGACCACAGUGAUUUGUCCGGGUCAUGACCACAGGACCCACACAGGCUGGGCCAAUGGGAGAUCCUCUCUAGGGAAGGCUCCCUCGCCCGGGUUUACCAGCUGGGAGGGGUUCAGCAGAGAGCUCUUUGCAGCCCUGGGUUGUGAAUGGAGAAAGCAAGAGUCUUGUAACUUAGAGAGAGAAGCUCUGACUUCUUGUGUCUGAGACCAGUUCCACCUAAAUUCUCCAGAGAUACACAAAUUAUGUUUGCUAAAAUCUUAAAAAAUUCCCUUUUUCCCUUAAGCUGAUUUAAGUUGCCGUCUGAAAUCAUCCCUAAUAAAAUACUCUCUGUAAGUAACUUAUCAUUAUCCAAGAGACUCUUUCAAUGGGUUUCAAGAGCUUAUAUAGAGUUUCUAGCCAGGAACAAUGCCACUUGAAACCCU
This is a non-coding RNA of Ictidomys tridecemlineatus (thirteen-lined ground squirrel), 1475 nucleotides long. The record is from RefSeq and is a predicted model, not a curated record. NCBI's taxonomy places the organism in Eukaryota, Metazoa, Chordata, Mammalia, Rodentia, Sciuridae.